Molecule: ribosomal RNA, 1604 nt
Filed under: Haplosplanchnus pachysoma
Lineage: Eukaryota; Metazoa; Platyhelminthes; Trematoda; Plagiorchiida; Haplosplanchnidae
Description: eukaryotic LSU rRNA
Rfam family: Eukaryotic large subunit ribosomal RNA
Source: RNAcentral
CAGGAUUCCCUUAGUAACGGCGAGUGAACAGGGAAGAGCCCAGCACCGAAGCCUGUGGCUGUUUGGUCACUAGGCAAUGUGGUGUUCAGGUUAUCUCGCAGUGGUACUGCUUCACCCUAAGUCCAGAAAUGAGUACGGCAAUGGACAUGGCCCAGGGAGGGUGAAAGGCCCGUGGGGGUGAAGACUCAGUUUGGACAGUAUCACUAUGAGUAUACCUUGGAGUCGGGUUGUUUGUGAAUGCAGCCCAAAGUGGGUGGUAAACUCCAUCCAAGGCUAAAUACUUACACGAGUCCGAUAGCGAACAAGUACCGUGAGGGAAAGUUGAAAAGUACUUUGAAGAGAGAGUAAACAGUGCGUGAAACCGCUCAGAGGUAAACAGGUGGAGUUGAACUGCAAGCAUUGAGAAUUCAGCUGGUGAAUGUGUUAUGAGCUUGGGCAUAUUGGUUGGCCUUCGAGGUCUGCUUAGCUGCAGGUCUUCGCCUUUUGGUGAAGAUUCGCGAUACACUUAUCAAGUGUUGUGAGCCUUGUUGGUUAUCGAGCCUGUUCGCCAGUGCAUUUUCUCAUUGUGGUCACCACGACCGGCGCUGCUGUCUAACUGAUGGUCUUAAACAACAGGUUGUUUCAACCACAAAAAUGUUGGCAGGUUGCUCGUUGGUUUACGUGCGAGUCUCGGCUUGUGCGUGCAUAGCUUUCGAGUAUUGACAGCUGACCUUAUUGGUUAUGUGCAGUGCGUCGGAGACGGCGGCUACUGGUGUGUGCAUGCGUGCUUAGUCUUUCAGCGAGUCUGAGUCUGGCUACACGUUGCCUGUAUUUGCAGGCCUUGUGGCGGCUCGUGUUCGUCUGUUGGGCGGCUGCGCGUGUGUUACCGAAUCAGGGCCUAUAGUCUGUGGUGUAGUGGUAGACUAUCCACCUGACCCGUCUUGAAACACGGACCAAGGAGAGUAACAUGUGCGCGAGUCAUUGGGCGUUACGAAACCCAAAGGCGCAGUGAAAGUAAAUGUCUGACUUGUUCGGAUUAUGGUGAGAUCCUGUCGUUUCUCAUGCAUGGUACCACCAAGCUGCGAGCGGCAGGCGCAUCACCGGCCCGUCUCAUAACGUAAAUGUGAUUCUUCGAUCGUAUGUCGUUGGGGCGGAGCAUGAGCGCACAUGUUGAGACCCGAAAGAUGGUGAACUAUGCUUGCGCAGGUUGAAGCCAGAGGAAACUCUGGUGGAGGACCGCAGCGAUUCUGACGUGCAAAUCGAUCGUCAAACGUGAGUAUAGGGGCGAAAGACUAAUCGAACCAUCUAGUAGCUGGUUCCCUCCGAAGUUUCCCUCAGGAUAGCUGGCAUUCGGGAAACAAAACAGUUUUAUCCGGUAAAGCGAAUGAUUAGAGGCAUUGGGGACGAAACGUCUUCAACCUAUUCUCAAACUUUAAAUGGGUGAGAAGCUUAACUCGCUUAAACGGAGUUAGGCAUUGAAUGUGAGUGCCAAGUGGGCCAUUUUUGGUAAGCAGAACUGGCGCUGUGGGAUGAACCAAACGUUCGGUUAAGGUGCCUAACACUACGCUCAUCAGAUACCACAAAAGGUGUUGGUUGGUCUAGACAGCAGGACGGUGGCCAUGGAA